Molecule: ribosomal RNA, 253 nt
Filed under: uncultured bacterium
Lineage: Bacteria
Description: partial 16S ribosomal RNA
Rfam family: Bacterial small subunit ribosomal RNA
Source: RNAcentral
UACAGAGGUCCCAAGCGUUGUUCGGAUUCAUUGGGCGUAAAGGGUGCGUAGGCGGCGCGGUAAGUCGGGUGUGAAAUCUCGGGGCUUAACUCCGAAACUGCAUUUGAUACUGCCGUGCUUGAGGACUGGAGAGGAGACUGGAAUUUACGGUGUAGCGGUGAAAUGCGUAGAUAUCGUAAGGAAGACCAGUGGCGAAGGCGGGUCUCUGGACAGUUCCUGACGCUGAGGCACGAAGGUCAGGGGAGCAAACGGG